AGCAGCUUCCAACCAUCAAAACCUAAACAAGAAAAACUAGCAUGUCCCUUGUGAAUCUUAAGGAAAAAAUAACCAAGGUUCUAAAGAUGUAUCUCUCUUCCAAAAAUUCUCCUGUAGAUGUACAAAUAAAAGACAUCCAAGGAAGGAAACGUAGCAGCAUUAGCUCUCAAGCCCGGCGAAGGC
Rhodamnia argentea is the source of this 183-nucleotide long non-coding RNA. RefSeq lists it as uncharacterized. The transcript is spliced from 2 exons. NCBI's taxonomy places the organism in Eukaryota, Viridiplantae, Streptophyta, Magnoliopsida, Myrtales, Myrtaceae. The record is from RefSeq and is a predicted model, not a curated record.